This 451-nucleotide long non-coding RNA is filed under the name Cicer arietinum (chickpea). RNAcentral's name for it is "long non-coding RNA (CARI_LNC003777)". Lineage: Eukaryota; Viridiplantae; Streptophyta; Magnoliopsida; Fabales; Fabaceae. The record is from RNAcentral.
UUGAUUUAGAGACGCCCCUCGGGAUCAGGAUCAAGAGUUUCGCCCCCUCACGUAUCUAUUUUUCGUGCGUUUUCGUGGCCAUACCAUACAUCGACCUCUUUACCUAUUCCCUUGAAAGAAAGAAAAAUGAGUCCUUCUAUCCCGAAUUGCUAGUCUUACUCCUUUACCUUCUUAUCUGAUUUCACUAGUCUCAGGGACAUCUCUUUACAUCUGGCCAUUCCUUCUUACCUUUUUUAUGAACUCCUAAUGCCGAGAUAAGGCAUUGGUAUGUAUUAUUUUGUUUUGCCUGCAAGGGUAUAAGAAGAAGUAAGGAAAGCACAGCUUUGGCUUUCCCGGGAUCUCUCCUUGGCUUACUGGACUUCCUGCUUGACUUCUUUACCGAAUUACCGGAUUGCUAGCACAGGAAAGAGGGAGAGAAGGAGUGUAAACAAUUUCAAACCUGAUUCCCCGC